AUAGGUGCUAAUCCAAUCAGUCUUAAAAAGCCAAAUGGCAAGAAAGAGCAUAAUGACAAAAGGUCGUUAUCUCAGACACCUGGGCUUCCUGAUUUGAUCCUUUUUUACCUCAAAAUGUAAAACACAAUGUACAUAACUUUUUUAGUUUAUAUACUAUUACAUUCCUGGUUUCCUGUGGCUCAGUGGUAGAGCAUUGUGUUAGCAGUGCAAAUGUUGUGGGUUCGAUUCUCAGGGAACACGUUAGGUAAAAAAUGUUAGCCUGAAUGCACUGUAAGUCGCUUUGGAUAAAAGCAUCUUGCGCCACCUGGCGGUAGUUUCGCGAAUUAUUUUAACACGCAACUGACUUGCAGUUAACGCCAUGGCGGUAAUACCCAUUUUGGUUGUCAACCUACUGUAUGUGGACAGCCUGUUGAAGGUGGCGUCUUCAAAGAAAGCUAAAAGAGGAGUGCCAAGGUCUUGCUAAAGACCUAGGAUAUUUGACCAAGGAAAUACCCUUCAAAAUCAUAGGCCAGCAGCUGGCCGAGCGAGGCUGCAGAAGAGAGGAUCAUGACUUGAGUGCUGAACUCGACAUAAUCAAACAAGUGUUGGGUGACAACAUGGACAUGUAUUCAAAGGUCACACACACACUUGGACCCCAAGUAUGCCAGUUUGUGUUUCAGAUCAUCAGAGAGUGCCUUGUUGCAAAAGGAAGGGCUCUAGAAAAUUGAAUUUUGACACU
Cyprinus carpio (common carp) is the source of this 718-nucleotide long non-coding RNA. The record is from Ensembl. NCBI's taxonomy places the organism in Eukaryota, Metazoa, Chordata, Actinopteri, Cypriniformes, Cyprinidae.